ACAUUGUUAAUGGAAUAAUGUAAUCUGUUCUUCUUGACGACCGCUUCCGUCGCACCAUUUACCGGCCGAUCCGUUCUUCCCCAUAACCCAAGGUGCGCCUCCUCUCUCUCUUUCUCUCUCCCACUAUUCCUCUCUUUCGUUUCUUCACGGAGCCGGAGGAAAGAGAAGGGAAAGAGAGGGAGAGAAGGGGACCUUAAGGCGAUCGUUUUGUGCAUCUCCUCUCCUUCCGGGGCUGGGAUGUGUACCCGUUGAAUCCGCGCCUAGUCGGGUUCACGCUCCUUGCAGCAGGUGGAAUAGGAGGAAGAAAAGACUGCUUUCUGAGGGGAGGAGGAGAUAGGCGGAGGAGAUGAGUGCGUCCAGGUUCAUAAAGUGCGUCACGGUGGGCGACGGCGCCGUCGGUAAGACCUGCAUGCUCAUAUCGUACACCAGCAACACUUUCCCCACGGAUUAUGUCCCUACGGUAUUCGACAAUUUCAGUGCUAAUGUUGUAGUUGAUGGUAACACAGUUAACAUAGGCCUGUGGGAUACUGCUGGCCAGGAGGAUUACAACAGACUUAGACCUUUGAGCUAUCGAGGUGCAGAUGUUUUUUUGCUGGCAUUCUCUUUGAUAAGUAAAGCGAGCUAUGAAAAUGUGGCUAAGAAGUGGAUUCCUGAGCUGAGUCACUACGCACCUGGUGUGCCUAUAAUUCUUGUUGGAACAAAGCUUGAUCUCCGGGAUGAUAAGCAGUUUUUUAUAGAUCACCCUGGUGCAGUACCUAUGAGUACUGCUCAGGGGGAAGAGUUGAGGAAGCUGAUUGGCGCGGCAGCCUACAUCGAGUGCAGCUCCAAGACCCAGCAAAAUGUUAAGGCAGUUUUUGAUGCGGCCAUUAAAGUGGUGCUUCAGCCACCCAAUCUUAAGAAAAAUAAGGGGAAAGGACACACGAGUUGCUCCAUCUUGUGAAUAUAGACUGACCCCCUAGCUUGGAAGUGCCUUGCUCCAUUUUGCGGAUCUUGGUUGUGGCCUACAAACAACCGAAGCAUUAGGAGCUUAUGUGACAAAGGAGGAUGUCUGAUCCGAUACCCGACAUCCGUUCAAGUCGAUGCAUAAACAAUGGUUCAUCUAUAUCUGCAGCCAAUAAGAUUGAACUCAGCAGCUGUGUUUGUAGCAUUAAACUUGAAAAGUAUUUUCUGUUUGGUCUUACUUUUCAUUGGCAUCUACAACUUAAAUGAACUCAGUUAGCAGCUGUUUCUAUUGAUCCUUGAACUUGAUCUGUCAAUUUAUUUCGAGUUACUUCUAUUA
Musa acuminata AAA Group (dessert banana) is the source of this 1279-nucleotide RNA transcript. It is a transcript of the gene named rac-like GTP-binding protein 5, with no coding region annotated. NCBI's taxonomy places the organism in Eukaryota, Viridiplantae, Streptophyta, Magnoliopsida, Zingiberales, Musaceae. The transcript has 9 exons. The record is from RefSeq and is a predicted model, not a curated record.